UACGAAGGGUCCAAGCGUUAAUCGGAAUUACUGGGCGUAAAGCGCGCGUAGGUGGUUUGUUAAGUUGGAUGUGAAAGCCCCGGGCUCAACCUGGGAACUGCAUCCAAAACUGGCAAGCUAGAGUAUGGCAGAGGGUGGUGGAAUUUCCUGUGUAGCGGUGAAAUGCGUAGAUAUAGGAAGGAACACCAGUGGCGAAGGCGACCACCUGGGCUAAUACUGACACUGAGGUGGGAAAGCGUGGGGGGCAAACAGGGUUGGAUGGCCCCGUAGUCC
This 273-nucleotide ribosomal RNA is filed under the name uncultured bacterium. RNAcentral describes it as "partial 16S ribosomal RNA". It matches the Rfam family "Bacterial small subunit ribosomal RNA", at positions 524 to 796 of the family's 1533-position model. The record is from RNAcentral.